RNAcentral lists this small nuclear RNA (307 nucleotides) under Castor canadensis (American beaver). Its description in RNAcentral is "7SK RNA (ENSCCNG00000011694.1)". It matches the Rfam family "7SK RNA". Rfam says of the family: 7SK was discovered as an abundant small nuclear RNA in the mid-70s but a possible function has only recently been suggested. The record is from Rfam by way of RNAcentral. Lineage: Eukaryota; Metazoa; Chordata; Mammalia; Rodentia; Castoridae.
GGAUGUGAGGGCGAUCUGGCUGUGACAUCUGUCACCCUCCCCCGCCCACCCCCUGAUCACCAGGGUUGAUUCAGCUGAUCUGGCUGGCUAGGUGGGUGUCCUCUUCCUCCCUCACUGUGCCAUGUGUCCCUCCUGAAGCUGCACACUUGGUCAAAGAGGACGACCUUUCCAGAUAGAGGAGGACCGUUCUUUGGUCUAGGGCAUGUAAGGAGCUGCACUCCCCUGCUAGAACCUCCAAACAAACUCUCAAAGUGCAGAAGAGAUCAGGGAACUACAGCACAGAGAAAAAUUCACAUGACAGCCACUG